AGUGAACGCUGGCGGUAGGCCUAACACAUGCAAGUCGAACGGCAGCACAGUAAGAGCUUGCUCUUACGGGUGGCGAGUGGCGGACGGGUGAGGAAUACAUCGGAAUCUACUUUUUCGCGGGGGAUAACGUAGGGAAACUUACGCUAAUACCGCAUACGACCUACGGGUGAAAGCAGGGGAUCUUCGGACCCUGCGCGAUUGAAUGAGCCGAUGUCGGAUUAGCUAGUUGGCGGGGUAGAGGCCCACCAAGGCGACGAUCCGUAGCUGGUCUGAGAGGGUGACAGGCCACGUGGGGAAGGAGAUACGGCCCAGACUGGUACGGGAGGGAGCGGUGGGGAAUAGUGCACAAUGGUCGGAAGCCUGAUGCAGCAACGCCGCGUGCGGGAGGACUGCAUACGGGAGCAAAACAGCUGUCGCCGGUGAAGAAGCGUGAGUGACGGUAAUGGAUAAAGAAGAACCGGCUAACUACGUG
Molecule: ribosomal RNA, 472 nt
Filed under: uncultured bacterium
Lineage: Bacteria
Description: partial 16S ribosomal RNA
Rfam family: Bacterial small subunit ribosomal RNA
Source: RNAcentral